RNAcentral lists this ribosomal RNA (471 nucleotides) under uncultured organism. RNAcentral's name for it is "partial 16S ribosomal RNA". It matches the Rfam family "Bacterial small subunit ribosomal RNA", at positions 333 to 796 of the family's 1533-position model. The record is from RNAcentral.
ACACUCCUACGGGAGGCAGCAGUGGGGAAUAUUGCACAAUGGGCGCAAGCCUGAUGCAGCCAUGCCGCGUGUAUGAAGAAGGCCUUCGGGUUGUAAAGUACUUUCAGCGGGGAGGAAGGCGAUAAGGUUAAUAACCUUGUCGAUUGACGUUACCCGCAGAAGAAGCACCGGCUAACUCCGUGCCAGCAGCCGCGGUAAUACGGAGGGUGCAAGCGUUAAUCGGAAUUACUGGGCGUAAAGCGCACGCAGGCGGUCUGUCAAGUCGGAUGUGAAAUCCCCGGGCUCAACCUGGGAACUGCAUUCGAAACUGGCAGGCUAGAGUCUUGUAGAGGGGGGUAGAAUUCCAGGUGUAGCGGUGAAAUGCGUAGAGAUCUGGAGGAAUACCGGUGGCGAAGGCGGCCCCCUGGACAAAGACUGACGCUCAGGUGCGAAAGCGUGGGGAGCAAACAGGAUUAGAAACCCGGGUAGUCC